This 253-nucleotide ribosomal RNA is filed under the name uncultured bacterium. RNAcentral describes it as "partial 16S ribosomal RNA". It matches the Rfam family "Bacterial small subunit ribosomal RNA", at positions 524 to 776 of the family's 1533-position model. The record is from RNAcentral.
UACGAAGGGGGCUAGCGUUGUUCGGAAUCACUGGGCGUAAAGGGCGCGUAGGCGGCUGUUCAAGUCGGGGGUGAAAGCCUGUGGCUCAACCACAGAAUUGCCUUCGAUACUGGACGGCUGGAGACCGGAAGAGGUCAGUGGAACUGCGAGUGUAGAGGUGAAAUUCGUAGAUAUUCGCAAGAACACCAGUGGCGAAGGCGGCUGACUGGUCCGGUUCUGACGCUGAGGCGCGAAAGCGUGGGGAGCAAACGGG